GGGGGAAUAAAGGAAUAGAGUCGGGGGUUGUGUCAUCCUGGCACUUCGCUUCAGCUCCGAACGUAAAAGGACAGCAAUCUGGGUCGGCAAUAUAAGGGCGACGGAAGAUGAACUUAAGUUUGUCUCAUAGUCUAUAGAGACAUGUUCAUGGUGAUCCUUGGGCAAAGUCACAUCAGCAUUACUUCAUCCAGGAGAGAUCUUUUGGAACAAGGCUAGAUGUAAAUGUUAUUGUCAAAAGGCUUAAAGAAGUGGAAGGACGAUUAUUUGGGAAUAGUGUGUACUGGGUUCAUUUUAACAAGAAAAUAUUCUGAAAGGAGUUUCUUUUGGUGGCAGAUACAAGGGUUGAGGAACCCUGAGGAACCGAAUAUGGAUCUGACUUGACUCCAAGGAGUAUUUUGUUUUUCAAAAGCAUGCUUGAGUUUGGUAUUAUGCUAGAAAGUUUGAUGUUCACAACAAAUUUUAUCAGAUGUAUUGAUGCUGUUGGUUGUUUUCAAUGGGUAGUCCCAUUCCAUGAUACUCAAAAUGCUGGCUGAUAAGGAUGUUUUACCUUGACUUCAAUUUUCCAUGGCGCUGUGAUAUGAAGGCAGACUAUCACAUGAUGAGGGAGGUAGUUUAUCUAUAUUUGGCAUUUGUCUUGAGGAAGGUAUGUGGUAUUUUACUGUUCGAAAUUCUUUAUGAAUAAUAAUGUGUUUAUUUUGAAUAAAAUAAUAUUACCCUUGCCUGUAAAUGUUAGCCUAUAUUACUAUAAUGCCCCUUCCAUGAUUGACAAUUCAUCUCUGCAAAAUCAAUAUUGUGAGGUCCAUGCAGAUGAUCCAAGUAGUUCAAUUGUUGUAUCUCCUCAUCCCUUUUUUUUUCUUGAUUGCUAAGUUUCUCCUGAUCUGUUUAUUACAAUGAAGUCAAGGUGUUGCUCAUUGCCUAGCUGAUUCACUGUUGCCUAAGGAUUACCAAGUGACAUCCGGUGGUUAGGCACUGACCAAUUAAGCAGUGUGAAUUUUAGGUUUUUUUUUUUUUUCUUUUUGUAAACACUACAUUUCCAAAGACAAAUUAUAUUUCGUUUUAAUGCAAUAUAUUUUUCUUUUACAAACAUGAGGAAGAUAUAAAGAAAAGGGCAAAUUUCUUAAACUACCUUUAUGGUUUAGCUAAUUGACUAAGUAUACCCCCUCUGUUUGACUAUUGUCUAAUGCUACCCUUACUGUUUUGGAAAAUUACCAUUACUGUUAAAAUAUUAACGGAAGGGCUGAAAUGCCCGUUUAGCCCUUAGGUCAAAUUGAGAGCUCCUCUGGUUCUUCUUCAUCUUCCUUGGUUUGUCUUGGCCGCCCAGGUCCAGAUCUGGGUUCCUUCAUCUGAGAUGAGGUGGGCAGGUAUGGAGGAGCUUUGAACAGAUGCAGAUCUGAGUAGAGAGCUUUGAACGGAUGCAGAACAGCACCAGCCUCUCUCUCUCCCCGUCCCCUUCAUUCUCUCUCCCUCUCACCCCUGUUUCAUCACCGCCGUUGCUGCAAAGCGGUGGACCCCUCCACAUCCAACCUCUCUCCGUCCCCUUCGUUCUCUCUCCCUCUCGCCCCUGUUUCAUCACCAACACUGCAGCAGCAGCGGGUCCCUCCACAUCCGGCCUCUCUCUCCAUCUUUCCGUCCCCUUCAUUCUCUCUCCCUCUCGCCCUUUUUCGUUCUUUGAGAUGAUUUUUUGUGGGACAAGUCGCCUGGAGGAGGAAGAAGCAGAAAGCAGCAUUAAAAUUGUAGAUCUACGCUAGAUCUAGCGUUAGACUGACUAUUAAAUCAGUUAAUGAGUUAGAUCUAGCAACUUUUUAUUUUUAAUAUUUGUCUCCCGUUAUAGAAUCUACAACUCAAACUAUAAGAAUGGAUAAAAAUCUGAUUGUAUUGCCAUUGAUUUGUGCAAUUCUUUUGUUGAAUCUGAUUUGUGAAAAUUUUAUCCCAUUUGAUAGUUGGACCCGCACAUACAUACUAGAUGCUCGAAGAAAUUGAAAUCCCCCUUAUCUCUGUAUGUUUUUGUUAUUAAAGUAAAGAAAAAGAAAGUGUUAGCUUAGAUCACGGUCUUUGCCGCUGCCAUCUUUGUGUGAGUUAAGGUAGCUUAGAUACCGAAAAAACUUGUGGCCAAUCAACUGGUAUAAUAAAAGAGGCUAUCACGCAGUUGAUUCUGGUUGAUUAGCUGUAAGUUUGUGUGGUAUUAUAGUUGAACCCUAGUUAGGGUUUAAAAACAUUAGCAGGUGAACUAUCGUCUGGAUGAAUAUUUUAAUUGUUCUCCCUCUCACCCCUGCUUCAUCACUGCCGACCCCUCCACAUCCAUGCUUGAACCCUACAGAGUGGAGUUGUCUCUGUAGGGAGCCGUCUCUGGUGAGAUUGAGGUUUAGAAAGAACCAACAAAAAGAGGAAUAACUCUUUUUGCCGUCAAGAUGGAUUUUUUCUUCACCAUAGAGUGGAGCUUCUUGAUUUUCAUUGCAGAUUGGCAGGAGGUGCCGGUGGCUCUCUUGAAGAAGAUGGUGAAGGAGGAGGGAGAGGGAGAUGGAUGAAGGGUAAAUUUGGGUUUUAAAAAAAUUAUAUAUCAUGUGUGAGGAAUAUUAACGGAUGCUAAUGUUUAAGGUAGAGCUAGUCAAUUGUCAGAAACAGUAGGGGCUUGCAUUAGACAAUAGUCAAACAGUAGGGGUAUACAUAAUCAAUUAACUAAAUCAUAAGGGUAAUUUAAGAAAUUUGCCCUAAAGAAAACUGUGUGAUGGAGAUGAGUGGUUCAAGGAAAAAAAGGCCUUAAGAGGGGGAGGGGGGAGACUAGGAGAUAACAGCAAUAAUCUUAAACGGGACCACUGUAAUAUAAUAUUGGAAGGUGCUCAUCCACCUCUUCUUUGUCUUACUUGUUAAGUCUUGUUUUGAAACAGUGAUGCUAUCAUAUGCAGCUGAGCUGCCUUUCGUUUUGCAUUUCAAACACAACAGGGUUUAGGAAAAGACAUGUUAAAGGACAACAGUUGAGCAUAGUAAAGGCAGUUGAGCUGCCUGAUAGCAUUUCUUCUUCUCCUUUCCUCCAGGGAAAUAUCAUCUUCUAGGUUAGCAUUCUGAAAUGCAUAGCCAUCACCUUGUAGCCAUGAUCACAUUCACUAAGUGGCACGAUACAGGCAACACGUGCAAGGCACUGACACUGAGGCUUUAUGUUCUUAUGUUAUUCAAGAAAUGGAUAUCAGCAUAUUUGAUUGAAUGCAGUACCCACUGGCUAUACAAGUGGGUUGCCGGUAAUGGUAUAGAAGCAUGCCGGGGGAAAUUACAAUACAGGGUGUUUCUUAAUGCCAAAACGCCCUCAACAUUGAGCCAGUAACUGAGGGUGUUUUAGUAAUCACACAGGACAACUUUAUUUUUUUUCAAUAAAAAAAUUAGAAAAAGUUUGUGCAAUGCACGUGUGUAGUAGCACUGUAUUUCUACAUACUGAGAGACCCAUUUAGUACACUGUAAAUCAAUUAUUAUGUCAAAAGGAAUCGUGGGUUUUGCUGCUUUUACACACCAGCAACAGCACGCACGUGUUUCUUGAGCCAUUGGGUGCUCAUCCAUUCAUGUUUGAGCUAUUAGCCUAUUAUAUAUUAUGUGCACACUACUGACAGAGUCACAGAAGCACAGAAGAGCAAUGACAAGAAGCAAAAUAAAAGGACAGAUGCAAAUAUCAAGGUGCGACAUCAUGUGUAUAUAAGCAAGCAGCCGAGCCUGGUGAUGGUUGAUGCUUUUUGGGACAAAAGAAUAGUGAAACGUGGCAAGAAGAUUGGAGAUGCCUUCAUGACCACAAGACUGACUAGUGACUGGUGGUGACUCCUCUGUCAUCUUUCUAUGAUUAGAUAGAGCAGAGUAUGUAUCCAUUGGGCGAUUCAGUUUUGUAGAAUUACUGUAGAACUUGCGACACUUGCACUGCUCCGAGGAAAAAAAAAUGGAGAAUUUUCAGGCGUUGUUUUUUAAAAUGGGCAAUUGCAUCAUUGCAUCUACAUAUGUAUAUGCUCUUGUGUUUGUUUUUUCCGUUCUGUUGGUUUCUAUUCUUCCCCCACUUGUGAUGAUUCCAAAGAGAAUACAUAUAUAUAAAUAAUUUUAAACUAUUACAGCACCAGGCAGCUGUAUUCCGGCAUUUGUUCUUAGAAU
Nelumbo nucifera (sacred lotus) is the source of this 4119-nucleotide long non-coding RNA. RefSeq lists it as uncharacterized. The record is from RefSeq and is a predicted model, not a curated record. Lineage: Eukaryota; Viridiplantae; Streptophyta; Magnoliopsida; Proteales; Nelumbonaceae.